Molecule: long non-coding RNA, 3389 nt
Filed under: Homo sapiens (human)
Lineage: Eukaryota; Metazoa; Chordata; Mammalia; Primates; Hominidae
Description: non-protein coding lnc-POMGNT1-4:1
Source: RNAcentral
UGUGUAAGGAGUUGGGGCAGCGGGUGUAUAGAGGCAGCAGGAAAGGGUACAAUGAGGAAACUUUAAAAUAAGGUAUAUUAUACCUUGAAUACCAGGAUAUGGAGUUUGGACUUUAUCAUGAAUGCAGCAGAGAGACCUCCAAGGGUUUUGAAGAGGGUAGUGUCAUCACCAAGAGCAGGAUGAAGAGGGACUGGAUGGAGACUGAAGUGAAGGAGAGCAGUUAGGCUGUUGUAAUAGACCAGAUGAAAGGUGAUGUGGACUACAUUCGUGUAAAAGCAUAGGGAAUUAACACUUUCAUUCAGCCCGUACAUCGAGGACCUACUAUGUACAAAUAAUUAUACUAGAUUCUUGGAUGUCAAGAUUCAGUUAUUCUGUAAGUAAAGAUAAAAAGAGACCCUGGAGCGGAAGUUUUGGUAUACUCCAAGAUCUUAGACUUGUUCUUUUUCUUUGAGAUGGGGUCUCACUCUGUCACCCAGGCUGCAGUGCAGUGGCAUGAUAUCAGCUCACUGCCACCUCUGUCUUCUGGGCUCAAGCAAUUCUCCCAUCUCAGCCUCUCGAGUAGCUGGGACCACAGGCGUGCCCCACAACACCCAGCUAAUUUUUUUUUGUAUUUUUGGUAGAGAUGGGGUUUUGCCAUGUUGCCCAGGCUAGUCUCAAACUCCUGGACUUAAGCAAUGCCCCCUACCUCUGACCUCCAAAGAUUACAGGAAUUACAGGUGUGAGUUUGACUUGUUCUUGAUUGGACAGAGAUGCCAUUGACAGGAUAAAAAUAACCACCAACAUUUAGCGAGCUUAUUAUGGCUGGGCAUUGUUUUAAACAGAUUAUAAGCAUGAUCUUCACAACAAUGUCAUGAGUUAAUUACUGUUAUCUCCAUUUUAUUUUAUUUUAUUUUAUUUUAUUUGUGAGACAGAGUCUUGCUCUGUCGCCCAGGCUGAAGUGCAGUGGCGCCAUCUCGGCUCACUGCAGUCUCUACCUCCUGAGUUCAAGUGAUUCUUGUGCCUCAGCCUCCCAAGUAGCUGGGAUUACAGGCGUGCAUCAUUACACCUGGCUAAUUUUUGUAUUUUUAGUAGAGAUGGGGUUUCACCAUGUUGGUCAGGCUGGUCUCAAACUCCUGACCUCAAGUGAUCUGCCCGCCUUGGCCUCCCAAAGUGCUGGUAUUACAGGUGUGAACCAUUGCAUCCCACCUAUUUUUUAUUUUUUGAGGCAGGGUCUUGCUCUGUCAUCCAGGCUGGAGUGCAGUGGUCUAAGCACAGCUCACUUCAGCCUCAACCUCCUGGGCUCCAGCCAUCCUCCCACCUUAGCCUCCCAAGUAGCUGUGACCACAGGUGCACACCAUCACACUCUGCUAAUUUUUGUUUUGUUUUGAGAUAGGGUUCUCACUGUGUCACCUGGGCUCAAGUACAGUGGUGUGAUCAUAGCUCACUGUAGCCUCGAACUCCUGGGCUUAAGCGAUCCUCUUAGCCUCCCAAAGUGCUGGGAUUACAGGUGUGAACCACUGUGCCCAGCCUCCAUUUUUUUCCAGUUGAAGAAACUAAGGCUUAAAGAGGCUUAAAUAAUUUGUCCAAGGAUUCACAUUUAACUAAGUAGUUAGGAUUGCACUCAGAUUUGUCCUACUCUAGAGGCCAAACCCUUUAGACACUAUACUAUAACAGCUCUUAGAACUAGAGAAGUUGGCAAGAGCAGGUUUUGUUUUUAAGAUAUAUUGACUUUAGAGACACGAAUUGUUUCUAUUCUUCAUAGGAAAGUACUAGUUCAGAAUAUAGCAGUAGCCCAAAGGAUGGUAGUGGUUAAUCUGGAAAAAUGGAAAAGGAAUUCAGGAAAGACUUAAUAAAGGGCAUGUGAUACUUGAAAGAUGAGUAGUUGAUAUACUGAAAGUGGCAACGACAUUCCUAUUAGAACAGCAUGACAAAGGACAUUCCUAUUGGAAAGAACAGCAUGACAAAGGUACAGGGGCAGAAAGCGGCAUAAUAUGUUAGGUAAAUGAAAAAGUAGUUAAGUGUGGCUGAAAUGUAGGAGGCAAAGCAGGGAGCUGAUACUAGCAGGGCAGAUUAUGAAAGACCUUUUAUCACACAUAUUCAGUAGGUCCUUUUCAAUGCCAAAUGGUUCAUUUUGCUUGGGCAGAAGUGAACUGACCAGCUCCUAAAUAAGCAUGUCAAGCUCAUUUAGCAUGUCAGCUUGUUUUGUGGGAUGAUCUCACCCUUGCCCCUGAAAUUCCAGCUUCCAACUGAGUGGCUGAAGAUAAGUGGACUAGAGUUUGGAACAGAUCUAGAUUAGCUUCUAGAGGUUCCAUUUGUCAAAUGAGAAGUCUACCCUUCCAUUUUCCUUUCCAGUAGAAUAAAUAAUGCUUGGAAACCUCUUGGGUGGGAGGGGGAGGGGAGGAAAAGUAAACUUUUGUUUUGAUUUUUGUAGCCCUCCCAGGCCCAAUACUUCAAAGCAUCCUACCUCUGCUCAAUAUAUAUUACUUGGAGAGGAUUGAGGAAACUGCCCUCAAGAAAGGCCUCUCAACUCAGGCCAUCUGGCGCCGACUCUGGGAUGAACUGAUGAAGACAAGGCCUUCCAGUUUGGAAGUAAGUUAAGGUAUCAGGUAGAAUGCUAGCCUGAUUUUGCAUGGUAAAAGCAGGAAUAGCACACAAACACAAGCUGGGUACUGAUAAAGUGCAGAGGCAAUGAUGGAAUGGAUUUGGGAGGAGGGCUCUGAUGGCUUGUCACAAGGUUUUGGUCCAUUUGGCAUUUGUCACUGAAUUGCUUGCUCACUGUAUUUGCAGGGGACACAAAACAGGGAAAGUUAGUGAUCACAAUGGAUGGCAGAGCCAGGAUUCCUAGAGUUCUUGAUGGUGUUGGUGCAGUGGUCAAAUCUAACAAAAUGAAAUUUAAUAGAAUACACCAAUACUUCAAUGAGUUUUAAAAGUUCCAAUUGCAUGGUAUCGGGAUGAGGGAUAAAGGAGUAUGAUUAGUAACAGCUUGUAUAAAAAAGAUUAAGGGAGUUUAGUCAACAAUGUGUUGAAGCCACUUAUAACGACUAUACCUUGAGCUGUGUGAACUAAUGUAAAUAUAGUAUAGGCUGAAGGACAAGGUGGACAACAGUCCUGCCUAGCUCUGCAAUGGUCAGGCUACCCGUGGAGAUUGGAGAAAGUCAAAGCCACAUUAUGUGAGUCACAUUGGGACAACUGGAGAUGUUUUUCCUGAAAAAGAGAAGACUUGGGAAACAUGACCCAUCUUGAAAUAUAUGAAUGGCUGUCACAUGAAGGAGGGAUUAAUAGACUUGUUCUGGAUGGAAGCUAAUGGAAGAUACAUUUUUGCUAACCUGAAGUUUACGUAAAGCUUAAACCCUGAGCUUAUGAAACAAGCUAAUUCUAGAGGUAAUAAACUUCCCAUCACUAAGUUCAAA